Molecule: ribosomal RNA, 253 nt
Filed under: uncultured bacterium
Lineage: Bacteria
Description: partial 16S ribosomal RNA
Rfam family: Bacterial small subunit ribosomal RNA
Source: RNAcentral
GACAGAGGGUGCAAACGUUGUUCGGGCUUACUGGGCGUAAAGCGCGUGUAGGCUGCUCGGAAAGUCGGGUGUGAAAGCCCUGGGCUCAACCUAGGAAGUGCACUCGAAACUUCCGAGCUGGAGUGCUGGAGAGGAAGGCGGAAUUCUCGGUGUAGAGGUGAAAUUCGUAGAUAUCGAGAGGAACAUCGGUGGCGAAGGCGGCCUUCUGGACAGCGACUGACGCUGAGACGCGAAAGCGUGGGGAGCAAACAGG